AGCCAACAGACUUCAGAGCGGCACAAUCAGGGUCCUCAGGAGGCCUGGAGGCAGCGAGUGGAAGAUGGCUGCUUUCUCGUCUGCGGUUCUAUGGAAGGAGGUGCACUCUAUCCUACAGAAAGAUGUGUUCCAGAGGCCGGGGAACACUCUGGCUUGAUUUAGAAAGCAUCUCUAUAGAGCCGAGUGGUGCAGUACCCUGGUGUAAAGUCCCUGGCCACACAGCACAUUUUCUUUCAUUCUGAGCUGAGCUACUGAAAAUCAACAGUGUGUUUGGAAUAAGAGAGGUUGAGGCUCACUGAAGAGGGAAGAUGGGCCGUGAACUGGGAAGAAGAGAGGGAUGGCGAUUCUUUUAACCCACAGUAGGAAUAUAUUAUAUAGUGACCAAAUGUCCGUAGAGGAGAAAGCUGAUGUGAAUCACUGUGGACAACCUUGAAGCCAAGAAUCAGGGACACUGUCGCCAAGAGCUCUGCCUGGCCUGGGUCACAUGGGCCAAUCCCAAGGGCCGGCUCUGGUUACAUUUUCUUCUGCUUUAAGAAGGGAGUGAUCCCAGCAUCCCAGAACAAUUGGUUGAACUGCCAUUGCCUUCUGCUUCCCUGACUCCCCGGGAGAGUCCAGAGCUCUGCAGCAAAGGAGCAUGUUAGAUCUUCCUGUUGCUUCUUGUUUCUCUCUGUAAACUUGAAUGCAGCAUCUGUUGUCUGCUAGACAUUACCAACCAGUGCUAUGUCCUCUGAUUGCUUCCUAGUGGUAUCAAUUUGCCAUCUGUCCUUGUUUUAAAGAUUAACACAAUUUUAUCCCGGCUCUAUCUCAUCAUAAAGAAGUUUCUGGAAGAU
This 830-nucleotide long non-coding RNA is filed under the name Mus musculus (house mouse). RNAcentral describes it as "long non-coding RNA chr13:99641973-99642803". The record is from RNAcentral. Lineage: Eukaryota; Metazoa; Chordata; Mammalia; Rodentia; Muridae.